AUGGGGUGGAAUGCGACGACGGAAUGGUUGGCAAUGUGCAGGCUGAACUGCCCGCCUUUCUCGCUCACGUCGAGCUUGUCCACGCCUGGCGGCGGCACCAUCUCGAAGCUCCUCACCAGCUUCCCGACGAUGAGCGCCAGGAUGGGCAGCGCGAGGAUGAUACCGGGGCAGCUGCGCCGCCCCACGCCGAACGGGAGGAACCGGAAGUCCACCUUGCCGCCGACCGUGGCGUCCACGUUGCUCUCCUCGCCCAAGAACCUCUCCGGCUUGAACUCCUCCGGCUUCUCCCAUAGCUCUGGGUUGUUGGCCAGCCACCAGGCGUUGACGACGACCUUGGAGCCCUUGGGAAUGGUGUAG
Molecule: ribosomal RNA, 357 nt
Filed under: Triticum aestivum (bread wheat)
Lineage: Eukaryota; Viridiplantae; Streptophyta; Magnoliopsida; Poales; Poaceae
Description: partial small subunit ribosomal RNA
Source: RNAcentral